This 328-nucleotide unclassified non-coding RNA is filed under the name soil metagenome. RNAcentral's name for it is "partial contains 5.8S ribosomal RNA, internal transcribed spacer 2, and large subunit ribosomal RNA". The stretch from base 1 to 119 matches the Rfam family "5.8S ribosomal RNA", at positions 35 to 154 of the family's 154-position model. The record is from RNAcentral.
GAUGAAAACGCAGCGAAAUGCGAUAAGUAGUGUGAAUUGCAGAAUUCAGUGAAUCAUCGAAUCUUUGAACGCACAUUGCGCCCCUUGGUAUCCCGAGGGGCAUGCCUGUUCGAGCGUCAUUUCACCACUCAAGCCUGGCUUGGUGUUGGGCGACGUCCUCUUUGGGGACGCGCCUCGAAACGCUCGGCGGCGUGGCACCGGCUUUAAGCGUAGCAGAAUCUUUCGCUUUGGAAGUCGGGGCCCCGUCUGCCGGAAGACCUGCUCGCAAGGUUGACCUCGGAUCAGGCAGGGAUACCCGCUGAACUUAAGCAUAUCAAUAAGCGGAGGA